RNAcentral lists this ribosomal RNA (253 nucleotides) under uncultured bacterium. RNAcentral's name for it is "partial 16S ribosomal RNA". It matches the Rfam family "Bacterial small subunit ribosomal RNA", at positions 524 to 776 of the family's 1533-position model. The record is from RNAcentral.
UACGGAGGGUGCAAGCGUUAUCCGGAUUCACUGGGUUUAAAGGGUGCGUAGGUGGGUUGGUAAGUCAGUGGUGAAAUCUCCGGGCUUAACCUGGAAACUGCCAUUGAUACUAUCAAUCUUGAAUACCUUGGAGGUGAGCGGAAUAUGUCAUGUAGCGGUGAAAUGCUUAGAUAUGACAUAGAACACCAAUUGCGAAGGCAGCUCACUACACGGCCAUUGACACUGAGGCACGAAAGCGUGGGGAUCAAACAGG